GCAGCAAUAGCUCAAAUUUGAAAUCUGGCGUCUUCGACGUCCGAGUUGUAAUUUGUAGAGGAUGCUUCUGAGUAACCACCGACCUAAGUUCCUUGGAACAGGACGUCAUAGAGGGUGAGAAUCCCGUAUGCGGUCGGAAAGGUGCUCUAUACGUAGCUCCUUCGACGAGUCGAGUUGUUUGGGAAUGCAGCUCUAAAUGGGAGGUAAAUUUCUUCUAAAGCUAAAUAUUGGCCAGAGACCGAUAGCGCACAAGUAGAGUGAUCGAAAGAUGAAAAGCACUUUGGAAAGAGAGUUAAAAAGCACGUGAAAUUGUUAAAAGGGAAGGGAUUGCAACCAGACUUGCUCGCGGUGUUCCGCCGGUCUUCUGACCGGUCUACUCGCCGCGUUGCAGGCCAGCAUCGUCUGGUGCCGCUGGAUAAGACUUGAGGAAUGUAGCUCCCUCGGGAGUGUUAUAGCCUCUUGUGAUGCAGCGAGCGCCGGGCGAGGUCCGCGCUUCGGCUAGGAUGCUGGCGUAAUGGUCGUAAUCCGCCCGUCUUGAAACACGGACCAAGGAGUCUAACAUCUAUGCGAGUGUUCGGGUGUCAAACCCCUACGCGUAAUGAAAGUGAACGGAGGUGAGAACCGCAAGGUGCAUCAUCGACCGAUCCUGAUGUCUUCGGAUGGAUUUGAGUAAGAGCAUAGCUGUUGGGACCCGAAAGAUGGUGAACUAUGCCUGAAUAGGGUGAAGCCAGAGGAAACUCUGGUGGAGGCUCGCAGCGGUUCUGACGUGCAAAUCGAUCGUCAAAUUUGGGUAUAGGGGCGAAAGACUAAUCGA
This 814-nucleotide unclassified non-coding RNA is filed under the name Cladosporium cladosporioides. RNAcentral describes it as "sequence contains 28S rRNA gene". It matches the Rfam family "Eukaryotic large subunit ribosomal RNA", at positions 98 to 938 of the family's 3401-position model. The record is from RNAcentral. Lineage: Eukaryota; Fungi; Ascomycota; Dothideomycetes; Cladosporiales; Cladosporiaceae.